This 3545-nucleotide long non-coding RNA is filed under the name Aotus nancymaae (Ma's night monkey). Its description in RNAcentral is "lncRNA (ENSANAG00000038893.1)". Lineage: Eukaryota; Metazoa; Chordata; Mammalia; Primates; Aotidae. The record is from RNAcentral.
CCUGGUUGGGGGAUGGGCAGUCAGGAGCAGCUCCUCUGGGGAAGACAGGCAGUAAACCCGGAAGCUAAAGAAGUAGCAGCUCAGAGGUGGAGUGGCGUUGGGAUGGGGCAUCAGCAUGUAGGAAGCCCUGUGGACAGGGAGUGAGUUAAGGGCAGGGAAACCGAAGCCCAGGCAGUAGGAGAGAGGAUGCAGGGGAAGGUGGAACCCUGUGAACCCCAGGAAUGAAGGCUUUGGGCUUUGUCCCAAAAUCCACUGGGAAACACCGAGGGCUGGCGUGAGACCUUGUACCCAAAGGACAAGGGGAAUGGUCACUGGACCAUGUGGAAGGGGAGUGGUCAUCGGACCCAAGCAGUGGUGGUGGUCAUGGGGUGGCCUCAGCAGGUGACUGCAGGUUUCCAGGCCAGAUGACAGCCACCUGGACCGAGCUGGCCCCCAGAUUAGAGACGGAAGAUUGAAGAGCCAUGGAGGGUCCAGGUCCGAAGUUCUCUGUGCUGGGGUGGAGUGGGGUGAAAGAGUACUGGGGUGAGUGGAAGGGCACUGAGGAGGUGGAAGGGCCAUGGGAUGGGUGGAAGGGCACUGGGGAGGUGGAAGGGCACUGGGGUAGGUGGAAGGGUGCUGGGGUGGGUGGAAGGGCACUGGGGAGGUGGAAGGGCACUGGGCUGGGUGGAAGGGUACUGGGGUGAGUGGAAGGGCACUGGGGAGGUGGAAGGGCACUAGGAUGGGUGGAAGGGCACUAGGAUGGGUGGAAGGGCACUGGGGAGGUGGAAGGGNNNNNNNNNNNNNNNNNNNNNNNNNUGGGUGGAAGGGUACUGGGGUGGGUGGAAGGCACUGGACAUGCAGAAGGAAUGCAUGGCUACUGUUUGUGCUGCCGGGAGCUGGGGUCCAGGAUGACUGUGUCCGCUGGAGCUGCCUGGUUCUGAGAACGCAGGGACUGCCUCUUGAGGGUCAGAGUCUCCCACAUCCCCUGUCUUCGUGACCUGCCUCCUCAGGAAGCCGAAUGUGCCACCAGAGCUGGUUGAUUCUCUGGAAGAGAAGUCACCAGGAACACUCCAGAAGGAAGAAAUGUCUAGUGUGUCCUAGAUCUCCACACCCUUCCAAAGACCCAGAGAUGGAGCAAUGCUGGAUAGACCCCACCUGCACACAGAGAAAGGCUGCUGGAGAGACGUCGUCAGAGCAGAGAGACAGUGGCCCUAAUCCCAGGACCCAGGCAACGUGUGGAGGGUGCAGGGUGGUGUGUGUGUGCUUUUAUCCCCAGCACCAGGACCUCAGGCCUGAGAGCUUCCCCUACCUGCCAUGGGAUCCUCGUAUUGAGCUGUUGCCUGAAGGUUUCAGCAUAAUGGCCAAUUGGUCAUUCAUCUUUAUCCCAAUCCAUCACCCCCACUGCUGGGGUCCCAGAGCCAUUCGCGUUGUUCUGAGGCAUUCAGGGCUUGCUAAGCUCCCCGUGGGCACAAGGCAGUUUCUCUGCAAGAACACUUCCCAACUUUGGCGACCUGACCCUCCUUGCUGGGGUGCAGGUAAAGGACAUGGCAGGUGCACUCCCUCUGUAACCCUCACUCAAAUGUGCCAAUCCGUGGGCUUAUAUGCCUUGACAUCUAAAGCACAGACAUGGUGCCUGGUCAUGAGCUGGGCCCUUUUUGGAGGGGAUCCAGAAGCAUUCGGAGCCAUCAGCAAAGCAUGGGGUCUCCCCCUCUGCAGGGCGCUGUCUGUGGAACUGCCUGUUUCCUCUGAUGAUAGGAUUCAGUCGCUCCAUAGAAACCUAGAUUUCUCCCUGUUGUCCUGAAGUGUGAGAAGCAAAGUCCUGUGUUCUAGACACAGAUACCUUCUGAAUUCUCCUCUCAUUGCUGGUCCACGUUCUGUGGCUUCGGCUGAGUAAUUCAACUCUCCAGGGACCUUGGUCACCCAUCAGUGAGAGCCACUGUGGGCAGAGAAGGGGAGCAGCAGGGCAAGCUGAGAAUGCAACCCCACAACACCACCCCAGUUACGUUGUUUCCUCGUAGGGCAUGUGGUUGAAGAGUGCUCGGGUUUUGACAUCUCAUAAAGAAAAAGUUGACAGAAUUGGGUUUGAUUCAGUCAUUUUGAAAAUAAGCACAGUUGCUUUUUAAUAUCCAUUUUUCUUGAAAAUAACAGUUUGUCUUUGUGUAUAACUGCCUUGUUUCUCAGUCUGGAUGUCUCUAUUUCUCAGGAAGUGGGGGGACCAGCAGGAGGAGAGGAACAUGGGUGUCUCAUGGUCCCAGCAGCCAGACAGAGCCCCCGUGUAGGUGUUGGCUGCAACAUCAGGUCCCUGCACACUAAAAUAGUGGGGAGCAAGGAGCAUGGGUGGGGCACAUGCCCAGUCUGCCCCGGUUGAAAUGACAGAGAAGAGCCCUUACUAGUCAGGCAUUCCAAUCACGACUGGAUUCCCCAAGACACGAAGGUGUGGUUGAUGUCUCCAUGCCAGAUCCUAGCACUAAAAGCUGUUCAUUCAAUGAGUGUCAAAGUGAAGAUGACCAGGGCGUGCAGAGCCCCCACACCUCCACUUCUGGCCCGUUCCACUGAUGAAUGUGCCCGUGUGUGUAUCUGUCUGCCCAUAGUGGGGCUUCUUUGCCUGGUUUUAUUUUACCAGUGGCUACAUUUCAUCAUCCAGCUUCACUUCCCGUAAAAGUUCUGGAUCAUGUCUGGUUUCCCUCUGAAACUGUGAAUCACACUCUCCACACCCUGCCUUUCUCUAGCACUGCAAGAGAAGCACUCCUCUGUGCAGGACACAUUCCUAUCUGCUGCCCCCGAGAGCCCUGGUUCAUCUCGUCGCUCCAUUCCAGUUCCUUCUAGAAGAUAAAAGUUGGAAAGUGACCUGAGCCCAGUGCUGGAGAACAUGGCAGUGCUCUUCAAGGCCUCCGCUGGAACAUCUGGUGUCUUCCAAGCCAGGUGCUGUACCUGGUCCGUGAAGAAAGUAUUGGCAAAGCCUCAGAGCAACUUCCAGGUCUUUUCAUCCAGACAAGGCCAGCUGCUGGCUGCCAGUUUGGGUCCAGCUCUUCAUCAGUUAGUGUUAGACCCACACAGUGUUUUAAAUAUUUCAGUGAACUAUGCAUAUCUAAGAAAUGUGAUCUUUUACAGAAAGAUCUGUAUUUCUGACUUUUCUUAAAAAAUCAAAGUGUCUUGCAAUGCUGGCCCCCAGCCCAACAUGGCAAUCAGCAGUUACAUUAGCUUCCUCCUUGGUGGCACCAAGCUGGCUCCUGCAGCCCUGGAACCCUAAAUACGAAAUACCUAUCAACGCAAUAGCCCCUAUGUCUUCUACUGAAAGUCACGACAGUUCUUCAACUGAAAGUCGCCUGGGAUCUAGCCAGGAUUCUACAUGCGUUUCUCUCUUUAUCAAGCUUGUCCAACCUGCGGCCCGAGGGCCCAUGCAGCCCAGGAUGGCUUUGAAUGCAGCCCAACACAAAUUAAUAAACUUUCUCAAAACAUUAGGAGAUUUUUUUGUGAUUUUUUUUUUUCUUUUUUAGCUCAUUAGCUAUCACUAGUGUUAGUGUAUUUUAUGUGCGGCCCAAGAUAAUUCUUGUUCUUCCAAUGUG